GUAGUGCAAUGGAUAGCGCAUUGGACUUCUAAUCGAGACGUGGGUUCGAAUCCCACUGUUUCU
Molecule: transfer RNA, 63 nt
Filed under: Trichonephila inaurata madagascariensis
Lineage: Eukaryota; Metazoa; Arthropoda; Arachnida; Araneae; Nephilidae
Description: tRNA-Arg
Rfam family: tRNA (bases 2-56)
About the family: Transfer RNA (tRNA) molecules are approximately 80 nucleotides in length. Their secondary structure includes four short double-helical elements and three loops (D, anti-codon, and T loops). Further hydrogen bonds mediate the characteristic L-shaped molecular structure. tRNAs have two regions of fundamental functional importance: the anti-codon, which is responsible for specific mRNA codon recognition, and the 3' end, to which the tRNAs corresponding amino acid is attached (by aminoacyl-tRNA synthetases). tRNAs cope with the degeneracy of the genetic code in two manners: having more than one tRNA (with a specific anti-codon) for a particular amino acid; and 'wobble' base-pairing, i.e. permitting non-standard base-pairing at the 3rd anti-codon position.
Source: RNAcentral